UGUGUGUUAGUGGAAGCGUCUGGAAAGGCGCGCGAUACAGGGUGACAGCCCCGUACACAAAAAUGCACAUGCUGUGAGCUCGAUGAGUAGGGCGGGACACGUGGUAUCCUGUCUGAAUAUGGGGGGACCAUCCUCCAAGGCUAAAUACUCCUGACUGACCGAUAGUGAACCAGUACCGUGAGGGAAAGGCGAAAAGAACCCCGGCGAGGGGAGUGAAAAAGAACCUGAAACCGUGUACGUACAAGCAGUGGGAGCACGCUUAGGCGUGUGACUGCGUACCUUUUGUAUAAUGGGUCAGCGACUUAUAUUCUGUAGCAAGGUUAACCGAAUAGGGGAGCCGAAGGGAAACCGAGUCUUAACUGGGCGUUAAGUUGCAGGGUAUAGACCCGAAACCCGGUGAUCUAGCCAUGGGCAGGUUGAAGGUUGGGUAACACUAACUGGAGGACCGAACCGACUAAUGUUGAAAAAUUAGCGGAUGACUUGUGGCUGGGGGUGAAAGGCCAAUCAAACCGGGAGAUAGCUGGUUCUCCCCGAAAGCUAUUUAGGUAGCGCCUCGUGAAUUCAUCUCCGGGGGUAGAGCACUGUUUCGGCAAGGGGGUCAUCCCGACUUACCAACCCGAUGCAAACUGCGAAUACCGGAGAAUGUUAUCACGGGAGACACACGGCGGGUGCUAACGUCCGUCGUGAAGAGGGAAACAACCCAGACCGCCAGCUAAGGUCCCAAAGUCAUGGUUAAGUGGGAAACGAUGUGGGAAGGCCCAGACAGCCAGGAUGUUGGCUUAGAAGCAGCCAUCAUUUAAAGAAAGCGUAAUAGCUCACUGGUCGAGUCGGCCUGCGCGGAAGAUGUAACGGGGCUAAACCAUGCACCGAAGCUGCGGCAGCGACGCUGAUGCGUUGUUGGGUAGGGGAGCGUUCUGUAAGCCUGCGAAGGUGUGCUGUGAGGCAUGCUGGAGGUAUCAGAAGUGCGAAUGCUGACAUAAGUAACGAUAAAGCGGGUGAAAAGCCCGCUCGCCGGAAGACCAAGGGUUCCUGUCCAACGUUAAUCGGGGCAGGGUGAGUCGACCCCUAAGGCGAGGCCGAAAGGCGUAGUCGAUGGGAAACAGGUUAAUAUUCCUGUACUUGGUGUUACUGCGAAGGGGGGACGGAGAAGGCUAUGUUGGCCGGGCGACGGUUGUCCCGGUUUAAGCGUGUAGGCUGGUUUUCCAGGCAAAUCCGGAAAAUCAAGGCUGAGGCGUGAUGACGAGGCACUACGGUGCUGAAGCAACAAAUGCCCUGCUUCCAGGAAAAGCCUCUAAGCAUCAGGUAACAUCAAAUCGUACCCCAAACCGACACAGGUGGUCAGGUAGAGAAUACCAAGGCGCUUGAGAGAACUCGGGUGAAGGAACUAGGCAAAAUGGUGCCGUAACUUCGGGAGAAGGCACGCUGAUAUGUAGGUGAAGUCCCUUGCGGAUGGAGCUGAAAUCAGUCGAAGAUACCAGCUGGCUGCAACUGUUUAUUAAAAACACAGCACUGUGCAAACACGAAAGUGGACGUAUACGGUGUGACGCCUGCCCGGUGCCGGAAGGUUAAUUGAUGGGGUCAGCGCAAGCGAAGCUCUUGAUCGAAGCCCCGGUAAACGGCGGCCGUAACUAUAACGGUCCUAAGGUAGCGAAAUUCCUUGUCGGGUAAGUUCCGACCUGCACGAAUGGCGUAAUGAUGGCCAGGCUGUCUCCACCCGAGACUCAGUGAAAUUGAACUCGCUGUGAAGAUGCAGUGUACCCGCGGCAAGACGGAAAGACCCCGUGAACCUUUACUAUAGCUUGACACUGAACAUUGAGCCUUGAUGUGUAGGAUAGGUGGGAGGCUUUGAAGUGUGGACGCCAGUCUGCAUGGAGCCGACCUUGAAAUACCACCCUUUAAUGUUUGAUGUUCUAACGUGGACCCGU
Molecule: ribosomal RNA, 1925 nt
Filed under: Escherichia coli
Lineage: Bacteria; Pseudomonadati; Pseudomonadota; Gammaproteobacteria; Enterobacterales; Enterobacteriaceae
Description: partial 23S ribosomal RNA
Rfam family: Bacterial large subunit ribosomal RNA
Source: RNAcentral